Molecule: ribosomal RNA, 253 nt
Filed under: uncultured bacterium
Lineage: Bacteria
Description: partial 16S ribosomal RNA
Rfam family: Bacterial small subunit ribosomal RNA
Source: RNAcentral
UACGGGGGGAGCAAGCGUUGUUCGGAUUUACUGGGCGUAAAGGGCGCGUAGGCGGCACCGCAAGUCGACUGUGAAAUCUCCGGGCUUAACCCGGAAAGGUCAGCCGAUACUGCGGGGCUAGAGUGCAGAAGGGGCAACUGGAAUUCUCGGUGUAGCGGUGAAAUGCGUAGAUAUCACUUGGAACGCCAAUGGUGAAGACAGCUCGCUGGGGGUGUCCUGACGCUGAGGCGCGAAAGCCAGGGGAGCGAACGGG